UGGGGAAUUUUGGACAAUGGGCGAAAGCCUGAUCCAGCCAUGCCGCGUGAGUGAAGAAGGCCUUCGGGUUGUAAAGCUCUUUUAGUCGGAAAGAAAGAGUUGCAAUGAAUAAUUGUGAUUUAUGACGGUACCGACAGAAAAAGCACCGGCUAACUACGUGCCAGCAGCCGCGGUAAUACGUAGGGUGCGAGCGUUAAUCGGAAUUACUGGGCGUAAAGGGUGCGCAGGCGGUUUUGCAAGUCAGAUGUGAAAGCCCCGGGCUUAACCUGGGAAUUGCGUUUGAAACUACAAGGCUAGAGUGCAGCAGAGGGGAGUGGAAUUCCAUGUGUAGCAGUGAAAUGCGUAGAGAUGUGGAAGAACACCGAUGGCGAAGGCAGCUCCCUGGGUUGACACUGACGCUCAUGCACGAAAGCGUGGGGAGCAAACA
Molecule: ribosomal RNA, 427 nt
Filed under: uncultured beta proteobacterium
Lineage: Bacteria; Pseudomonadati; Pseudomonadota; Betaproteobacteria
Description: bacterial SSU rRNA
Rfam family: Bacterial small subunit ribosomal RNA
Source: RNAcentral